CUGAUAGUGGCUGGUGCUGAUAGUGUUUACAGAUGUGUUCACGAGAUCCUCUAAGUGCUUACUUCUGCCUGACAACUAGCUCUAUUUUAUCACCAUGCAGAUAGCAGGCAUAACGUGGAAUGCCAGGAGGAACGGUUUCACAGUGGAUCUGCUGGGAAGCAGUGCAUUGUUUCUCGAACCGGGCAACCUCUCAGUGGGGGAGAAGACAAGGUCGACAUAGGAUGCUCCAUUUUAGUUGACAACUCCCGGUGGGUCACUGUUCUGUCCCAAAAAGAGGACAUUAUGUUCCUGAAGGAAGGAAUAGUUGCUAUUUGGGGCUCAGCGGUCCUGAAAAAUAGGACUGUAACAGGAACACUUUCCAACACGGCUAAGGCAAAGGGGCAAACACAUGUCGCUCCGGCGCUCACGCCAAAGAAGUUGGAUGCACUGAAAAGUGCCUACCUACAACGCUUGAAAGCCAGGGGCGAGACUGCAGAGGCCAUCGGCAAAAAAAAUGUCCGAAGUUCGAGCGACUUUAAAUGACAAAUUAUAGUCUCUCAAGAAGCCCUA
Ornithodoros turicata is the source of this 549-nucleotide long non-coding RNA. RefSeq lists it as uncharacterized. Lineage: Eukaryota; Metazoa; Arthropoda; Arachnida; Ixodida; Argasidae. The record is from RefSeq and is a predicted model, not a curated record. The transcript is spliced from 4 exons.